Molecule: ribosomal RNA, 415 nt
Filed under: bacterium enrichment culture clone ALO1_GLFRUDD03F8CBB
Lineage: Bacteria
Description: bacterial SSU rRNA
Rfam family: Bacterial small subunit ribosomal RNA
Source: RNAcentral
GAGUUUGAUCUUGGCUCAGAUUGAACGCUGGCGGCAUGCCUUACACAUGCAAGUCGAACGGCAGCACGGGAGCUUGCUCCUGGUGGCGAGUGGCGAACGGGUGAGUAAUGCAUCGGAACGUAUCCUGGAGUGGGGGAUAACGUAGCGAAAGUUACGCUAAUACCGCAUAUUCUGUGAGCAGGAAAGCGGGGGACCUUCGGGCCUCGCGCUCUUGGAGCGGCCGAUGUCGGAUUAGCUAGUUGGUGAGGUAAAGGCUCACCAAGGCGACGAUCCGUAGCAGGUCUGAGAGGAUGAUCUGCCACACUGGAACUGAGACACGGUCCAGACUCCUACGGGAGGCAGCAGUGGGGAAUUUUGGACAAUGGGGGCAACCCUGAUCCAGCCAUGCCGCGUGAGUGAAGAAGGCCUCGGUUGU